This 387-nucleotide unclassified non-coding RNA is filed under the name Hevea brasiliensis (rubber tree). The record is from RNAcentral. Lineage: Eukaryota; Viridiplantae; Streptophyta; Magnoliopsida; Malpighiales; Euphorbiaceae.
CUCCUUGGGUAUUUAGCAUUGAGGAUCUCUUUCUGCCCAUAUUUUCUCCAUGCAUGACCAUCUUCUAUUGCAUCUGAGACUGUUGUCCAUGACUGGGAAGUCUUCUUUCUCUUGUAACAACCCCUCCUCUCCUUGGUAGUUGCCCUCUUCCUGCUCUCGCCGGAAUCUUCAGAUCUCCGGUCAUCACAGCAAGCUGAGUCCCCUUGGGAAGUUAUCUGGUUCUGAAAAUUCUGAACAAAAUCACAAGUUAGCAGGGUAAGAGCUUCAGUGAAAGAUCUCAAGAUCUUGACCGCAAGCUCAUUAGCUGAGAGAAACCCAUUAUCUCCGUAAGGUUUCUCGAGGAGAAAUUGAAGAUGAGUUGCAGAUUCUUGGCCUUGAACGAGCUCC